CGCACGGGUGAGUAACACGUGAGUGACCUGCCUUUUAGACUGGAACAACUUACCGAAAGGUGAGCUAAUAGCCGGACGUGAGUUAUAUAAGUGCAUGUUUAUAUAGGAAAAGUUGGGGAGACCUGACGCUGAAAGAUGGACUCGCGUCCCAUUAGCUAGUUGGUAGGGUAAUGGCCUACCAAGGCGACGAUGGGUAGCCGGCCUGAGAGGGUGGCCGGCCACACUGGGACUGAGACACGGCCCAGACUCCUACGGAAGGCAGCAG
RNAcentral lists this ribosomal RNA (265 nucleotides) under uncultured bacterium. Its description in RNAcentral is "partial 16S ribosomal RNA". It matches the Rfam family "Bacterial small subunit ribosomal RNA", at positions 99 to 354 of the family's 1533-position model. The record is from RNAcentral.